UUUCAACUUAAUUUCAACUUAUUUCUCCUUACAGAGUGCAAUCUACUAGGUCACGUGACAGUUGAAUAUGAUGAGAGAGGAAACAGCUUAUAUGGGCUCAUUACAAGGGCUACACUCACUGCUCACGGUGACAUGAUGACUUCUACUGCUCCCCUCCUCUUGGCUUUAGCUUUUCUGUUUGGCAGGAGUUAUGGGCAGUCUGCUACCCAACCUGAAUCUCACCGUUCUGUGCUCCAGGGGGAAGCUGUGCAGCUCAACUGUACAUAUAAAAUAGCAGCUGGUACUCCAUAUCUUUACUGGUAUGUCCAGUAUCAACAUGAAGCUCCAGAAAUGUUGACCUAUAAUUACGCAAAGGAAGGAAAGCGAGGAUUUACUGCUAAAGUAGAAAACUCUGAUACCUACAAUCUGCAUAAAGAAGCAGCAGAACUGACUGACUCCGGGGUAUAUUUCUGUGCAGUGACACAGUGA
Non-coding RNA from Xenopus laevis (African clawed frog), 468 nucleotides. The record is from the annotation of a RefSeq genome assembly. Lineage: Eukaryota; Metazoa; Chordata; Amphibia; Anura; Pipidae.